AGCAAUGCGUAUGACUGAAGU
Molecule: non-coding RNA, 21 nt
Filed under: Arabidopsis thaliana (thale cress)
Lineage: Eukaryota; Viridiplantae; Streptophyta; Magnoliopsida; Brassicales; Brassicaceae
Source: RNAcentral